GGGUUGUGAGGUUAAGCGACUAAGCGUACACGGUGGAUGCCCUGGCAGUCAGAGGCGAUGAAGGACGUGCUAAUCUGCGAAAAGCGUCGGUAAGGUGAUAUGAACCGUUAUAACCGGCGAUGUCCGAAUGGGGAAACCCAGUGCAAUUCGUUGCACUAUCGUUAACUGAAUACAUAGGUUAACGAGGCGAACCGGGGGAACUGAAACAUCUAAGUACCCCGAGGAAAAGAAAUCAACCGAGAUUCCCCCAGUAGCGGCGAGCGAACGGGGAGCAGCCCAGAGUCUGAAUCAGCUUGUGUGUUAGUGGAACGGUCUGGAAAGUCCGACGGUACAGGGUGAUAGUCCCGUACACCAAAAUGCACAGGUUGUGAACUCGAAGAGUAGGGCGGGACACGUGGUAUCCUGUCUGAAUAUGGGGGGACCAUCCUCCAAGGCUAAAUACUCCUGACUGACCGAUAGUGAACCAGUACCGUGAGGGAAAGGCGAAAAGAACCCCGGCGAGGGGAGUGAAAAAGAACCUGAAACCGUGUACGUACAAGCAGUGGGAGCACCUUCGGGUGUGACUGCGUACCUUUUGUAUAAUGGGUCAGCGACUUAUAUUCUGUAGCAAGGUUAACCGUAUAGGGGAGCCGCAGGGAAACCGAGUCUUAACUGGGCGUUAAGUUGCAGGGUAUAGACCCGAAACCCGGUGAUCUAGCCAUGGGCAGGUUGAAGGUUGGGUAACACUAACUGGAGGACCGAACCGACUAAUGUUGAAAAAUUAGCGGAUGACUUGUGGCUGGGGGUGAAAGGCCAAUCAAACCGGGAGAUAGCUGGUUCUCCCCGAAAGCUAUUUAGGUAGCGCCUCGUGAAUUCAUCUUCGGGGGUAGAGCACUGUUUCGGCUAGGGGGUCAUCCCGACUUACCAACCCGAUGCAAACUACGAAUACCGAAGAAUGUUAUCACGGGAGACACACGGCGGGUGCUAACGUCCGUCGUGAAGAGGGAAACAACCCAGACCGCCAGCUAAGGUCCCAAAGUCAUGGUUAAGUGGGAAACGAUGUGGGAAGGCACAGACAGCCAGGAUGUUGGCUUAGAAGCAGCCAUCAUUUAAAGAAAGCGUAAUAGCUCACUGGUCGAGUCGGCCUGCGCGGAAGAUGUAACGGGGCUAAACCAUGCACCGAAGCUGCGGCAGCGACACUAUGUGUUGUUGGGUAGGGGAGCGUUCUGUAAGCCUGCGAAGGUGUGCUGUGAGGCAUGCUGGAGGUAUCAGAAGUGCGAAUGCUGACAUAAGUAACGAUAAAGCGGGUGAAAAGCCCGCUCGCCGGAAGACCAAGGGUUCCUGUCCAACGUUAAUCGGGGCAGGGUGAGUCGACCCCUAAGGCGAGGCCGAAAGGCGUAGUCGAUGGGAAACAGGUUAAUAUUCCUGUACUUGGUGUUACUGCGAAGGGGGGACGGAGAAGGCUAUGUUAGCCGGGCGACGGUUGUCCCGGUUUAAGCAUGUAGGCUGAUUAUCCAGGCAAAUCCGGAUAAUCAAGGCUGAGGUGUGAUGACGAGGCACUACGGUGCUGAAGUAACAAAUGCCCUGCUUCCAGGAAAAGCCUCUAAGCAUCAGGUAACAUCAAAUCGUACCCCAAACCGACACAGGUGGUCAGGUAGAGAAUACCAAGGCGCUUGAGAGAACUCGGGUGAAGGAACUAGGCAAAAUGGUGCCGUAACUUCGGGAGAAGGCACGCUGGUGUGUAGGUGAAGCCCCUGCGGGUGGAGCUGAGACCAGUCGAAGAUACCAGCUGGCUGCAACUGUUUAUUAAAAACACAGCACUGUGCAAACACGAAAGUGGACGUAUACGGUGUGACGCCUGCCCGGUGCCGGAAGGUUAAUUGAUGGGGUUAUCCGUAAGGAGAAGCUCUUGAUCGAAGCCCCGGUAAACGGCGGCCGUAACUAUAACGGUCCUAAGGUAGCGAAAUUCCUUGUCGGGUAAGUUCCGACCUGCACGAAUGGCGUAAUGAUGGCCAGGCUGUCUCCACCCGAGACUCAGUGAAAUUGAACUCGCUGUGAAGAUGCAGUGUACCCGCGGCAAGACGGAAAGACCCCGUGAACCUUUACUAUAGCUUGACACUGAACAUUGAGCCUUGAUGUGUAG
This 2122-nucleotide ribosomal RNA is filed under the name Klebsiella pneumoniae. RNAcentral's name for it is "bacterial LSU rRNA". It matches the Rfam family "Bacterial large subunit ribosomal RNA", at positions 1 to 2141 of the family's 2925-position model. The record is from RNAcentral. Lineage: Bacteria; Pseudomonadati; Pseudomonadota; Gammaproteobacteria; Enterobacterales; Enterobacteriaceae.